AUGUUGCAGCAGCACAUAUGCUAAAAAAUCAGAAUGAGACAGAGAAGAUGAGUAUGGCCCCUGCACAAGGGUGACAUGCAAAUUUGUGAAACACUUCAUAUUUUU
Molecule: small nuclear RNA, 105 nt
Organism: Cebus imitator (Panamanian white-faced capuchin)
Lineage: Eukaryota; Metazoa; Chordata; Mammalia; Primates; Cebidae
Source: Ensembl